Molecule: long non-coding RNA, 724 nt
Organism: Doryrhamphus excisus (bluestripe pipefish)
Lineage: Eukaryota; Metazoa; Chordata; Actinopteri; Syngnathiformes; Syngnathidae
Source: RefSeq, a predicted model, not a curated record
UGGUGAACAGACAUCUCAUAGCGACUUUCAUCUUUAUUAUUCCAACUAUGGAUAAACUAACUCAGGGAUACUGAUGGACAUUGAUUGACUUGGUCGAUCAAAGCGUCAUCUCGGGGAUACAUGGAGGACUCAAAAGACAGAUGGGGCCUGCCAAAAAGCAGAACGUGUUCUCUCUUUAUAAGCAAUCAUCCCUGGUUCAUCUCUUGCAGGGCAUUGCCAGGGGCCAAAAAGUUGCAGACUUUGGCAGUUUUGGACCAGAAUGUAUGAAUAUUUAAUUCAAGCCACAGUUGUUUAUUAAAACAACACUUAAACCUCCCAUAUAUUUGGAUUUCAAAGCAAAUGUUACCAAAGGAAGAAAUCUAUGAUCUAUUUAGAAAUGUAUAUACCAAUGUUUAUGAUGUAAUGUAAUGAUGACAUAAAUAGAAAUGUGUAUUCUGUAUUACUGCACAGGUAUUGUUUAGGUUGUAAUAUUCUUAUUAAUAUUUGAUUAAUCAACAAUUCAUUAAUAAAUUCAUUUUCUACCGCUUAUCCUCAUGUCUUCGGGCGAGUGGCGGGGUACAUGCUGGACUGGUGACCAGCCAAUCACAGGGCACAUAUAGACAAACAACCAUUCACACUCACAUUCAUACCUAUGGACAAUUUGGAGCGGCCAAUUAACCUAGCAUGUUUUUGGAAUGUGGGAGGAAACCGGAGUCCAGAGAAAACCUACGCAUGUGCAGCUGUC